RNAcentral lists this long non-coding RNA (624 nucleotides) under Anser cygnoides (Swan goose). Its description in RNAcentral is "lncRNA (ENSACDG00005005664.1)". Lineage: Eukaryota; Metazoa; Chordata; Aves; Anseriformes; Anatidae. The record is from RNAcentral.
AUGGUUGUUCAGAAACCCGUGUUCAAGCCCUGCAGGUUUAUGAUGACAUUUUACAAGCUCAAGUGUGCCGAGAACGAAAUUUCUAUCGAGACACCAUUUGCUCCGCUGGACUUUGAGCAGAUUGCCUCAGACAUCCACUUCCGACCAGAAAUAGUAGAGCAGUGCAUCCAUGAGACCCUGCUUCUCUUCGCUGGUGCCCUCCUGGACAAAAAGGAUGUGGAAUUCUUCUUCAAGGGUAUCGGGAUUCUUACUGUGCGAAGAAAAGUGGUCACCAUGAACUUCUACACUGAGUUCCUGCUGGAGGUGGAUGACACAGACAACAUGUAUGAAGCUCUUCUCACGGACUCCAAGAUGACGGAUAUGAUUGCAUCUGACGGCAAAAAUAAAUAUACUCGUAUCAGUGGAAAUAGUUUCAUCACACUACCAACGCUUAUACUUCAGGACCCGCACUGCAAUCCGAUUUCCAUCAAGCCCAAAAGAGAUCCGCAGCCUUGGGGCAAGGGUGGCCGAAGAGUGAGUGUGCUGGACCCGGUGGUGCUGGCUCGGAGGAGGGUUUCUCUAGCCAAGAUGGCAGAGAAGAAAACCAAGGAGGAUAAAAACAAGCAAGGUGACCAAGCCAGGUGA